UGCGAUUUCUCUCUCCUCUCCAACCGGAAAUUAUUAUUCUAAUCAGCGCAAUGUCCAUUGCCAAAUUACCACGUUAUGGAGUGUUUUUCUCCAAAAGUGAGUUCGGACGAUGUCCCACAGCUAAAACCACAAAGUCAAAGUGCCCUGUAGCAAAAUUUGCCUAUAAUCUACUAUCUUCUCUAACCCUAUAGUUUAACAAAUGGUUUCACUCAUCGCUUAUUCUUUCAUUCCUCGUGUAAUGGUCCGGAUCUUCGGCUCCCUGAAUUCCGUCGCCCCCCUCCUCCGCACUCUUGCGGUCUCGCCCUCCUCGCGAUCGACUCCCCUCGCCCCGACUCACCGCCGGUCUCCUCCCCUCCGCCACAGAUUCCUCCCUCCCUCCUCUUUGCAAUUCCACCAUCCUCUUUCCAGAGGGGCUCUCACCCUUGCUCCCUCCCCUAACCCUAAUCUCGCCCGCGCCCCCACCAGCUUCUACCGCUGACCGUCGCGCCGUGCCGCCCCGCCUCGCCCUCUUCAACCGCCGACCGUCCCGUCGCCCUGCAUCUUGCCCGCGCCGCCGCCGUCGUGUUAUCCCGCCACCGGUACUGCGGAUCCCCAAUCUCCGUCGCGAUCAACAGCAAAACUACUCUUCAAGAACUGUAACCUAAGAACAUGAGUGUUUGUGCAAAAUUUAGUGGGUUAUUGGGGUAACCACUAGGUAGUGCCCUGUCCCCCUGUGUUCCUGCUGCAAACACCUGGGAGGCUGCAGAAUUAGCAUGGAUCAGGCAAAAGGGUUGACGUGCUCCAGUGUAAGAAUUGCUUGAGACUCGGUUGUCAAGAGCGCUGCUUUGACGACUUCCUCCUCGGCCUCCGCCUCAACUGCCACCGCCGCCACUGCCGCGUCGUCCGACAAUAUUUGGUUCAUGGUAGCACAUGGGUUUGGUAAAUCUAUCCCAAUGAAAAAUGGUGGUAUUUGAUCAUUCCCUUCGUUCCUUUUCUAUAGCUUUGGUUAACCUUCUGGGUGAGGUGCACUACAAUUCCUUGUAUGACAUUGAAGGUGAGUUCUUUUGCUUUUCUGUGAUCUGGGAGUGAAGGAAAGGUUUCCUACAAUUCCUCGGUUUUUCCAAUUUGCAUGAUUUCUUGUAUAGCUGCUCAUCUUCCUGUAACCUGCAGUGAAGACUUAUGUCCUUAUCCCCCGGUCUUAUAAAUCCUGCAGAAUUUGCACAUUAGAGGUGACCUUUUAAUGGAUUUUCUAUUUUAAAUAUAAUUUGCAGCAGACCGUAGUUGUCUGAAAAUCCUUAAUUUUUCUCCUCUGUUUCUGUGAAACUGUAAUUGAAUUGCCUAUAUAUGGAAUGAUAAAUAGCUGAUGAUAUGUUUUAGUCAUCAUUUUAUUUUAAGUUCAGGCUAAACUAAAUUCAUGAUCUAUCUUUAGCUUUUCUAUUGAAUUUUCUAGCGCUUAAGCUAAAGAGUUAGUCACCAGUAACAAAAUUUACUAAUAUCAUGAAGACCAAUGAAUGUUUGGUGCGUGGUCGGAAUCCACCAACCUUGAAACUCCCUGCCAUCCAUAUGUAGCUUUUUGAGAUUUCAUAUAUAGCUUCAUAAUGUAGGAUGUUGUGAAAUAACUAUAUGACUUUCCAUCAGAAGUUAGUACUUUUAGCUUGCUUUCAUAUUUGGUUUACUGUCUGCAUACUCAAAUACACCUGAAACUAAAAUGCAUGUUUUCUUUUGCACAUCAGUGCAAUGUUGUUUCCCUUGAGGUGAUGAUGAUAUGACCAUGGGAACACUUUACUUCACAGCAGUUGGUGGCUGUCCAUCCAUGGCAAAUAUUCUAGGAAUAGAUCAUGUCUAUUCAGAUGCAACAUUAUUUGAUCUGCCUUCAAAACCUGAAAAGAUUGCGAUAGUAGGAAGAGGGUAUAUUAGUUGGAGUUCGCUGGCAUUUACACCGGCUCAAUAAGUGAUGUUCGUUUUCAAACUGCAUUGCCUGACCAAAAAUAUUAUCAGUGGGAACUAGGUUGUUCUCAGGUUUUUAAUGGUUGUCACAUGGAUAGUUCUUUCUACUACUUUCGCUAUGUAGGUGUACAUCUGUGGGAGUAAUAUAUGUUCCAUGUGUCUCUGCAUCAACUAAAAUACCUGAUGGAUGUACACAUUUUUAAACAAGUUGAGAUUGAUCUGAGUGGAUGGAGUUAUAAGUAUUAGAAAAAAAAAGGAUGGUUCGAACGGAACACAACAACCGUGGUUGAUUAAACUGACAAAAUAGCAUUUGAAUUGAUAUCAUUAGUCUUUUUCCUCCCCAAGAGAGAAAACAACACAAAAGAUCAUUAGCCUUUCUAGCUCUGCUUUAGAUGCAACUAAGCUCAGCACUUGCGUAGAAUCAAAGUUCUCUGAAACAAGGGAUACAUCUGAAUGUCUCAUCUAAAUCAUCUGAACAAAUGCAUUUGAUUUGGUAUUCUUUGUCUGAAUUAGUGAGUCAUAUUUGUGCUGCAGAUGCACUGCCUUCCUGUAAUUUAUCUCCAUUAUCUUCAUUUGCGGUUACUCUCUUUUGGUCGUCUGUCGGAAAUUCAGAAUGAAAGUUGAAUGGUUGGGCACUUUCGGUUAGACAAGUGUUGCCUGCUGUUUGGAAGUAAAUCAUCAUCAUCUGAGCCUGAGCUGCACUUCCCUGGCAUUUCUUGUCCGGGACAACUGUGACACUAUUUUUCUUAAAUUGUCAAUCAUGACUUUGCACAAAUUUCAUGAUUUUUCACCCAUCAUCAUAGUGCAUUGUCAAUUUUGUUGUCCUUCCAUGAAAAGGAUUUGGAAUUGAAUUCCUUGUUUGUAUCGUAUUAAACGACAACUUGGUUUCUGAUAGCAAUGCAGUGAAAAUAAGUAGUAUAAUGCAACAAUUUUGUCUGUAUGUGUUAGCAAAAUCCAAGUCAGCCUUUACCAUGAAAUAUGAAUCACAAGUCAAGCAUAUGUGCUUAAUCACCCGUUUUAGCACCUGCAUGAUAUGAAUCAUCUGGAGUUAUCCCUGGGUAGAAAACGUGCAGGCUUAUCAUAUUGUUCGGCGAGUUGUUGAUGGAAGCUUUUUCAAAGUUGGUCCCUUGACUCUACAUGUCUGUAAAUGAGUUUUAUACCAGGGGACCGGGAGCACAUUUCUUACCAUUUCCUUCAUGGUUUACUCCCUUUGCCAUGGAUAUCUUAUGAUUUUCACGAAACAUAAAAGCACCUCAUGUUAGGAAUCCUCCCCAUUUCAGCAGCAAAUGCAUUGCUUCAAAACAAUGAAUCCAGUUCCAUUUUAUUUUUUUAAUAGCAAAUCCCUGAUCAUACAUUUUGCAUCUUUAGUGUAUCGUAGAUCAGUUGAUAACUACGGAUCAUUCAUACAUGAUUCUGGCCGCUCCAUAAUUUGCUUAUAAUUUUAUUCUCAAAUCAAAUGUAAAGAUGUUCAUAAUUACUGCAUAAUUUCUUCUGCAUGAUUCUUUGUUCCUGCAAAUGUUGUUCUUCUCCUCCCUCUACUUGGCCUCAGAUCAAAUGAUUUGAGGGGCAGAAAACGAAACAUGAUGGUAUUCAGUAUCAAAGCUAAGUUUUUUUUUAUUCUUUUGCAGUCAUAAAAUUUGAUGGAAUACCAAUGCCUGUUGCGGGGUAAUUUGCCCUCAAUCUGAGGUAUUGCCAUGAGUAUUAUCAUUUUCUCCCUGUAAAUUGCAACAAGGUGUUUUAUUAAAUGGCUGCUUCGUUAUAACAUGGUGUUCUGUUCAUGUGAACUUGUGAAAUGGCUGAGAAGUUCUUUUUAGCUAAAGUGCAGUAGUUGUGCUAUGUUGUGAAGAGUGAAAUGAAGUAUUAGCAAAAGGGUGAGACAUGGGUUAAAGUUCCAGUGAUAUGAAAUCGUUCAUCCCUGUCUUGAUUCCUGGAAGAUGAUAUUUUUUUCCAAGUAGCUUUGAUGAAAUGUAGCAAUGAGUAAAUGACCAAAAUUGUAAUAAUCUUUGUAUGGAUUUGAACACCAUCGAUAUGAUUUUUUAAAUGAACUUCUUGUGUUAUAAA
Non-coding RNA from Oryza sativa Japonica Group (Japanese rice), 3987 nucleotides. NCBI's taxonomy places the organism in Eukaryota, Viridiplantae, Streptophyta, Magnoliopsida, Poales, Poaceae. The record is from RefSeq and is a predicted model, not a curated record.